RNAcentral lists this ribosomal RNA (253 nucleotides) under uncultured bacterium. RNAcentral's name for it is "partial 16S ribosomal RNA". It matches the Rfam family "Bacterial small subunit ribosomal RNA", at positions 524 to 776 of the family's 1533-position model. The record is from RNAcentral.
UACGUAGGGUGCUAGCGUUGUCCGGAAUUAUUGGGCGUAAAGAGCUUGUAGGCGGUUUGUCGCGUCUGCUGUGAAAUUUCGGGGCUCAACCCCGAACUUGCAGUGGGUACGGGCAGACUAGAGUGUGGUAGGGGAGACUGGAAUUCCUGGUGUAGCGGUGAAAUGCGCAGAUAUCAGGAGGAACACCGAUGGCGAAGGCAGGUCUCUGGGCCACUACUGACGCUGAGAAGCGAAAGCAUGGGGAGCGAACAGG